RNAcentral lists this ribosomal RNA (460 nucleotides) under uncultured bacterium. RNAcentral's name for it is "partial 16S ribosomal RNA". It matches the Rfam family "Bacterial small subunit ribosomal RNA", at positions 338 to 795 of the family's 1533-position model. The record is from RNAcentral.
CCUACGGGUGGCAGCAGUGAGGAAUAUUGGUCAAUGGGCGCGAGCCUGAACCAGCCAAGUAGCGUGAAGGAUGACUGCCCUACGGGUUGUAAACUUCUUUUAUAAAGGAAUAAAGUGAGGAACGUGUGCCUUUUUGUAUUUACUUUAUGAAUAAGGAUCGGCUAACUCCGUGCCAGCAGCCGCGGUAAGACGGAGGAUCCGAGGGUUAUCCGGAUUUAUUGGGUUUAACGGGAGCGUAGAUGGGUUGUUAAGUCAGGUGUGAAAGUUUGCGGCUCAACCGUAAAAUUGCAAUUGAUACUGGCAGUCUAGAGUACAGUUGAGGUAGGCGGAAUUCGAGGUGUAGCGGUGAAAUGCUUAGAUAUCUCGAAGAACUCCGAUUGCGAAGGCAGCUUACUAAACUGCCACUGACAUUGAUACACGAAAGUGUGGGGAUCAAACAGGAUUAGAUACCCCAGUAGUC